UGGAAUGGCUAACAAUCAGUAAAUUCAUUUGAAUAAAUCUGGAAACGAAUUUGAAUUUUGAAUAGCAAAGUUCACUGUUUUUACAAGACCUCCUACAAGAAGUAUAAUAACAGCUAAUGAACUUGAUAGUAUCCAAUCUAAAACAGAUUGUUACAGAUGUUCACAAUGAACUGAAGGGGCCAACUGAAUUUGCUUUUUCAAGCUCAGCUCUGCUCCUCGUUAUCUAUCAAUUCCUCUGUAGCAGCAGCCAUCAACUCGUCAAACUUUUCUGUCUUCCCAAGCAAUAUUUCAAUCUUUGCUUUUGGCACAGGUCGCCCUCCUGUUUCCUCUCUCAUGUCAACAGUUGAAGUCAUGAUCUUUUUCUCAACAGCAAGCCCAUUAUUCUUCAAGAUCUCAGUGAUGGUUACAACUGUUGCUAUAGCUGUACAUAUAAUAUAAGAGUCAAUGCUACACAAACUCUAACUAAAAGCAUAAUAUACUAUUUUCAUCCAUGGUUCACAUACUAGAAAGUAGGAACGUAUUACAAGCCUAAAUUGCAGCAAAACCAUUUCAUUUAUUUGCUUUGAUAAGUAUCACAACGGAAAGAAAGAACUACUAAGGCUAGAGUUGUUAAACAAGCCAGCAAAUAUGGCAAUACAUAAGGAAGCAUAUAGAGAAUCAAAAUACCCAUCCCAAGAGCAGAGAGUUCAACUUCAUUGUGUUGCUGCAUGUAUCUCUUGGUGAGAUUGACGUAGAAGAAGAGGGGCUUUUUGGUGUUAGAGACUUGAAUACGGUUCUUCUUGUUGGCUGAAGCUGAAUCAGUGAUAUUCAAGUUGUUCACCCCCUCUGUUAUACCCUCCAUUGGGAUAAAUCUUUAGCUAUUAGCUAAAAAGAGGUGCCAAUAAACCCUAAAUCUCCCCUUCCAAACAAAGAAUCUUCCUCUCCCUCUCCCUCUCCUUCUUCUGAAACAGAGUCUUGAAACCCCAAAAGAAAAAAAAGAAGGGGCAGAGAACCGAGUGAGAGAGAGACAUGAAAGGGUGCGAGCUAUGUGGUGGUACUGCGAGAAUGUAUUGCGAAUCAGACCAAGCUAGCUUGUGUUGGGACUGCGAUGAGAAGGUUCACUGUGCUAAUUUUCUUGUGGCUAAGCAUUGCAGAACCCUUCUUUGCCAAGUUUGUCAAUCUCCGACGCCGUGGAAAGCCUCCGGUCCUAAGCUUGGGCCUACUGUUUCCAUUUGUGAAUCUUGUUUUUCCUUGCAUAACGGAAAGAAAGGUGAAGUAGGUGUGGAUCGUGACGAGAGCCACGGAGGAAAUGAGCAGGAAGAUGAAUUUUUAGAUGAUAGUGAUGAUUAUGAUGAUGAGGAUGAUGAGCAGGAUGAUGAGGAGGAAGACGAAGAGGAAGAGGAGGAUGAAGAUGGGGAAAAUCAGGUGGUGCCGUGGUCGGUUACAUCUCCUUCACCUCCGGCGGCGAGUUCCUCGAGUAGCGAAGAGGAGAUUUCGAGUAGAUUUUUGGGUGCAAGUGCGGCGGCGUUGAAGCGGAUGCGAGAGAAUAGUGCUGAUAUUGAUUCUGAUGAUGAGAAUGGAUGUUCCUCUUGUCAUACGGGCCGUGGAAGACUAAGCAACGAUGAAGGGGAUUCAAUGGCUUCAUAUAGACCAUUGAAGCAAGCAAGAACAAGCGGUGGAGGUGUAGGCGGUGAAGUAGAAGACGAUCAUGGUCAAGCAGAGUCAAGAUCAACCGCCAUUAUUGACUCCCUCAACAGACUCCAAAGUGAUACGGUAUCAAACAGAGAAAGUACAUCUGCAACCAUUCUUGCGAUUAGCAGAUUGAGCGGAGAUCACAGCCGCUGAUUUCAAUCCAACUAACUCUUUGUUUCCCCAUUUGAUAAUCAUGCAUUUCGUGAUUAGUUUUAAGUAAUGCUGGUAUUAAUUAGUUUUCGUUUUGCUAUUAUUAUAAGCUAAUCCAAGUUGUUAUUUUUCCUUUUAUAAAUACACUAUCUUUGUGUGAAAUCGUGUGUAACUGAGAGGGUAUCUGGUUGAUAUCGCGUGAAUGCGUUCUACUACAUUUUUGGAACAUUGAAAAAAUUCUCAGUUUAUUUUUUAAAGCUAUUAAUAUCUAAAUUGUGUGCAAUGCAUUGAGAAAGCAUGACUCUGCAUCUUCUCAA
Molecule: unclassified non-coding RNA, 2138 nt
Filed under: Hevea brasiliensis (rubber tree)
Lineage: Eukaryota; Viridiplantae; Streptophyta; Magnoliopsida; Malpighiales; Euphorbiaceae
Source: RNAcentral